AUGUUCCUGCUUCAUACAAGGCCAGGUUCUAUUUCACUAAGUUCAGCAGUGGUUCUAAAUGCUAUCACAAAUAUUACCCAAGAGACCGACAUCUCCACACCAACCCAUGCUGACCACUGUAUUAGCGAGGGGGACUUUGAAAAGGAAGGAACCAAUGUUCCGCUGUUUGGGGAUCGAAUACUACAUGACACUUCCUAUCCCCAAGCUGAGCUGUUACCAAUGGAUUCAGUCUGGCUAGACUGUAGAGGGAACAUAUUCUCCCAAGACCCUUCUGUCAUCCAACAAGAGGGAAGAAGAAGAGAGGGGAAGAGAUUACAGAAAGGCAUGCAGAUUGGAAAGAGGAUAGGAAGGAAAGAAAAGAGCCAGCCAUCAUUUUUGUAUAUCCACUUGACUUCUGGGAGAUGCUAUCUUAUCUCUGACCCCUGUUAACAGGCAGUAAAAUAUAUUGCGCUUGAAUAUCAUCUAGCUGCAUUCACAGAACCCUUCUCUGUUUCUGGGACACUUCUGCAAUCUUAUCUGCUUCACUAAGCCCCCAAAUGACAACAAUCCCCUGCAUGUACCAACAGAGAUACUAGGGCCCAACAAAGUUAAGGAGCUUGCCCAAGACUACCCAACAAAUCAGUUGUCCUAAGCUCCCUACCUUACCUCCAGGAUAUUUAUAAUCUGCAUCUUUAUUUCACAGACAAGUUCAUGGGUUUCCUUAGAUUUGAGGCAAUCAACCUUUUUUUUUUUUAAGUGCUUUGGGGCUUACAUAUCAUUGCCUCUGUAAGAAAGAUAGUACAAGUUUUAUCAUCCCUAUUUUAUAGAUGAGGAAAUUGACGUAGAUCAGGGCAAUGGAGAAUAAUUUGGAUGCCAUCAUUCUCUUUCUGUUUUCUGCAGAGCACGUGCUAAAUGAAGCUACCUACCAACUGUCCAGACUGAAGGCAGAAGAGAUACUUUUUUUUUUUUUGGUCUAGGAAAUGGGGAUGCUCAGGCAUUGGGACAUCAUAACCUUAUGCCAGGUUGUCAAUAAGAAUUUCCCACUAGAGAAGUAGUAUGACUUCCUAAAGAGCCAGCCUAUCUGGGUUGAAGUCCUGCCACAUAACCCAGAUUGCCUAUGUGACUUUGCCUCAUUUAACCUCUGACUGCCCCAGACAAAUAUCUAAGUUGGUAUAAGAGGCUGAGCAGGCGCUGAUAUGGACUGGGAGAGGGAAUUUGGUGAAGAGUUUCCUCCAAAAAUAAAAUUUAAGGACAACUGGAUGGCUCCGUGGAG
Molecule: long non-coding RNA, 1252 nt
Filed under: Monodelphis domestica (gray short-tailed opossum)
Lineage: Eukaryota; Metazoa; Chordata; Mammalia; Didelphimorphia; Didelphidae
Description: lncRNA (ENSMODG00000032813.2)
Source: RNAcentral